RNAcentral lists this long non-coding RNA (351 nucleotides) under Citrus maxima (pomelo). Its description in RNAcentral is "long non-coding RNA (CMAX_LNC001522)". The record is from RNAcentral. Lineage: Eukaryota; Viridiplantae; Streptophyta; Magnoliopsida; Sapindales; Rutaceae.
AAAGAAAAAGAAAAGAGAAAGAGAGAAGAAGAAGAAGAAAGAAACGUGCUGUUAGGCAAGUAGAGGAUUGAUGAAAGAGAACUAAACCUAAGCAAAUAGUGUGAACAAUCACAUAGCUAGAUAGAGAGCAUUGGAUCCCACUUGUGUUGUUUGUAAUCGUACUCCAUGUGCACCUUUUGAUUAUCAAUGCAUCCUAACUUCCAAACACCACACAUGCUCAUGCUUAAAUUAUCUUCAUCCAUCAUCUACAUGUGGAUUUGUUUUAAAAAAAAAAAAAAAAUUAGAACAUGAAUAAGGAGAUCUUGCCUUGCGAUAUUGAGAUGAGGUUCAUUUUCAUAAACUUGAAACUUG